UUGCCGUUACAAUGAUAACCUAGUAACCCGGUCAGGCCAGGAAUGGAGCAGCCGCAUCAAGAAGUGUCGUGUGUAGCGGUUUUUU
Molecule: signal recognition particle RNA, 85 nt
Filed under: Mycoplasma sp.
Lineage: Bacteria; Bacillati; Mycoplasmatota; Mollicutes; Mycoplasmatales; Mycoplasmataceae
Description: signal recognition particle sRNA small type
Rfam family: Bacterial small signal recognition particle RNA
About the family: The signal recognition particle (SRP) is a universally conserved ribonucleoprotein involved in the co-translational targeting of proteins to membranes.
Source: RNAcentral